UACGAAGGAUGCUAGCGUUGUUCGGAAUUACUGGGCGUAAAGCGCGCGUAGGCGGCUUAGCAAGUCAGGGGUGAAAUCCCACAGCUCAACUGUGGAAUUGCCUUUGAAACUGCUAAGCUUGAGUGUCGGAGGGGAUAGCGGAAUUGCUAAUGUAGAGGUGAAAUUCGUAGAUAUUAGCAGGAACACCGGUGGCGAAGGCGGCUAUCUGGACGACAACUGACGCUGAGGCGCGAAAGCGUGGGGAUCAAACAGG
This 253-nucleotide ribosomal RNA is filed under the name uncultured bacterium. Its description in RNAcentral is "partial 16S ribosomal RNA". It matches the Rfam family "Bacterial small subunit ribosomal RNA", at positions 524 to 776 of the family's 1533-position model. The record is from RNAcentral.